RNAcentral lists this transfer RNA (69 nucleotides) under Rattus norvegicus (Norway rat). It matches the Rfam family "tRNA". From Rfam's summary of the family: Transfer RNA (tRNA) molecules are approximately 80 nucleotides in length. Their secondary structure includes four short double-helical elements and three loops (D, anti-codon, and T loops). The record is from Rfam by way of RNAcentral. Lineage: Eukaryota; Metazoa; Chordata; Mammalia; Rodentia; Muridae.
GGGGAUUUAGCUCAGCGGUAGAGCGCUUGCCUAGGGAGCAUAAGGCCCUGGGUUCGGUCCCCAGCUCUG